This 210-nucleotide ribosomal RNA is filed under the name uncultured bacterium. RNAcentral describes it as "partial 16S ribosomal RNA". It matches the Rfam family "Bacterial small subunit ribosomal RNA", at positions 1295 to 1500 of the family's 1533-position model. The record is from RNAcentral.
GGAUUGCAGCCUGCAACUCGGCUGCAUGAAGCUGGAAUCGCUAGUAAUCGCGGAUCAGAAUGCCGCGGUGAAUACGUUCCCGGGUCUUGUACACACCGCCCGUCACACCAUGGGAGUCGGGAAUGCCCGAAGUCAGUGACCCAAACCGGAAAAGGGGGGGAGCUGCCGAAGGCAGGCCUGGUAACUGGGGUGAAGUCGUAACAAGGUAUC